This 465-nucleotide ribosomal RNA is filed under the name uncultured bacterium. RNAcentral's name for it is "partial 16S ribosomal RNA". It matches the Rfam family "Bacterial small subunit ribosomal RNA", at positions 28 to 506 of the family's 1533-position model. The record is from RNAcentral.
GACGAACGCUGGCGGCGUGCUUAACACAUGCAAGUCGAACGGUAAGGCUCCAGCUUGCUGGGGUACACGAGUGGCGAACGGGUGAGUAACACGUGGGUGACCUGCCCUGCACUUCGGGAUAAGCCUGGGAAACUGGGUCUAAUACCGGAUAGGACCAUGGUGUGGAUACUGUGGUGGAAAGUUUUUUCGGUGUGGGAUGGGCCCGCGGCCUAUCAGCUUGUUGGUGGGGUAAUGGCCUACCAAGGCGGCGACGGGUAGCCGGCCUGAGAGGGUGGACGGCCACAUUGGGACUGAGACACGGCCCAGACUCCUACGGGAGGCAGCAGUGGGGAAUAUUGCACAAUGGGCGGAAGCCUGAUGCAGCGACGCCGCGUGGGGGAUGACGGCCUUCGGGUGGUAAACUCCUUUCACCAUCGACGAAGGGUUUCUGACGGUAGAUGGAGAAGAAGCACCGGCGAACUACGG